GCCGAAAUAGCUCGAUUGGGAGAAGCGUUAGACUGAAGAUCUAAAGAUCCCUGGUUCAAUCCCAGGUUUCGGCA
RNAcentral lists this transfer RNA (74 nucleotides) under Trichonephila inaurata madagascariensis. It matches the Rfam family "tRNA". Rfam says of the family: Transfer RNA (tRNA) molecules are approximately 80 nucleotides in length. Their secondary structure includes four short double-helical elements and three loops (D, anti-codon, and T loops). The record is from Rfam by way of RNAcentral. Lineage: Eukaryota; Metazoa; Arthropoda; Arachnida; Araneae; Nephilidae.